ACUGACGUGGUUCACUAAUACCAUCCCACGAAAAAAAACUAGGAGGAA
RNAcentral lists this non-coding RNA (48 nucleotides) under Carnobacterium maltaromaticum. RNAcentral's name for it is "PreQ1". It matches the Rfam family "PreQ1 (pre queuosine) riboswitch aptamer". Rfam says of the family: This family is a bacterial riboswitch that binds to the metabolite preQ1, an intermediate in the biosynthesis of the modified nucleoside queuosine from GTP. One example of this riboswitch is located in the leader of the Bacillus subtilis ykvJKLM (queCDEF) operon which encodes four genes necessary for queuosine production. The record is from RNAcentral. RNAcentral also lists the same sequence under 1 other name. Lineage: Bacteria; Bacillati; Bacillota; Bacilli; Lactobacillales; Carnobacteriaceae.